GCACAGGAAGGCAGGAGGGAAUAGGACUGUGGGCUCAGCCAAAUGGGUCACUGUCUGGUCAAGUAAGACUGCCUCUAACACUCAGUCCAAGUGAUGCUCAUUCUCCCAGUUGGCUGAACAUGGCAACCAGACCUUCCAUGGGAGAUUUGCUUCAGUGCUCCACAGCCAUUCAUGGAAGAAGGUGGCUUGAGCCCUUCUAUUAGGAUGGCUGCAUAGUCCAUCUUGGAAGGCUGACCUCACCCAAGUGUGCCACAGAAGAUGCUGAGCUUGAAGGAAUCAUAUAGUGUCUCCAUAGUAACCAGAGGGGCCAAUGGUAACAAAGCAGUGUGGUGGUGUUCUGGAAAAGCCCAAGAAACGUAGCUUGACUGUCACAGUAAGAAGAGGUGGCAGUUAAAUAAUGUCUGAACCUGAAUUUUGAACACUUUCAGAAGUGGGNNNNNNNNNNNAGAAUUAAAAUGUUCACAUAUAUCUCAUUUAAUCCUAAAGUCAUUGUUUUCCAAGUUCUUGAAUUGGCUAGUCCUUUGAUAAAGCAAACUAUCCAACAAGAUCACCAAAGAUUCCACUCAAAUUAAUAAAAGUAACCACUACAGAAUACAAUUUAUUAAAAUAGCUUUGGUUUCUCUACCUUUCUCCACCAAUUCUUUUCACAGAGGUAUCCAGCUAUGUGGGAUUUCCUUAUGUUAGGAAUUUUGGUAGAGAUGAAAGCAAAAAGACUCCCAAGUAAUUUUUUUUUUGAAAUUUAUAAAAGCCAAAGUCCUUUGAAGAGAUAAUGUUAAUCUCUUAGUAUGAGACCAUAUGGAUUGAAUUUUUUUUUUUUUGAGGGCAAGGAAAGAGAAGAAAGAUUGCCCAAGGUUGAAAAGAUUCCUUUCCUCCAAGCAGGUCUGAACUUUCUCUCUUGCAGGAGCCCUUCUAUUAGGAUGGCUGCAUAGUCCAUCUUGGAAGGCUGACCUCACUCAAGUGUGCCACAGAAGAUGCUGAGCUUGAAGGAAUCAUAUAGUGUCUCCAUAGUAACCAGAGGGGCCAAUGCUCUUCUGUUAAGGGUGUUCCACACCCCUCCGCCCAUCCUUUUUCAUGUCCUCAAGGAUCAGACAGGCUCCUGUAAGUCCCCACUCACUCUUGCAUCAUCCAUUUCUCCCUCCCUCCCUGCUGCAUUAUUCCAACAAUACUAUAGAACCUUCAAACUCGAAAACCCUUAUGUCUUGCCUCAGCUACUGGCCCAAUUCUGUGCUCCCAUUCAUGAAAACGUGUGCAGUAUUUGUCUGUACUCAGUGUCCCCAAGAAGGACUCAUGUCCCUUCUUGCUAUUUAACAGAUGGAUAG
Molecule: long non-coding RNA, 1319 nt
Filed under: Vulpes vulpes (red fox)
Lineage: Eukaryota; Metazoa; Chordata; Mammalia; Carnivora; Canidae
Description: lncRNA (ENSVVUG00000021404.1)
Source: RNAcentral